Molecule: ribosomal RNA, 524 nt
Filed under: uncultured bacterium
Lineage: Bacteria
Description: partial 16S ribosomal RNA
Rfam family: Bacterial small subunit ribosomal RNA
Source: RNAcentral
GACGAACGCUGGCGGCGUGCCUAAUACAUGCAAGUCGAGCGCAGGAAAUCGACGGAACCCUUCGGGGGGAAGUCGACGGAAUGAGCGGCGGACGGGUGAGUAACACGUAAAGAACCUGCCCUCAGGUCUGGGAUAACCACGAGAAAUCGGGGCUAAUACCGGAUGGGUCAUCGGACCGCAUGGUCCGAGGAUGAAAGGCGCUUCGGCGUCGCCUGGGGAUGGCUUUGCGGUGCAUUAGCUAGUUGGUGGGGGAAUGGCCCACAAAGGCGACGAUGCAUAGCGGACCUGAGAGGGUGAUCGGCCACACUGGGACUGAGACACGGCCCAGACUCCUACGGGAGGCAGCAGUAGGGAAUCUUCCACAAUGGACGAAAGGCUGAUGGAGCAACGCCGCGUGAACGAUGAAGGCCUUCGGGUCGUAAAGUUCUGUUGUAAGGGAAGAACAAGUGCCGCAGGCAAUGGCGGCACCUUGACGGUACCUUGCGAGAAAGCCACGGCUAACUACGUGCCAGCAGCCGCAGUAA